Pelobates cultripes (western spadefoot toad) is the source of this 241-nucleotide non-coding RNA. The record is from the annotation of a GenBank genome assembly. Lineage: Eukaryota; Metazoa; Chordata; Amphibia; Anura; Pelobatidae.
GUGCUUUCGUUGGAGACCUUUGUUAUUGUAGAUACCACUACCUAAACUGAAUCAGUUGGGUGUAUUAUAACACAAUAAUCGGAGCACUUCCCUUUUUUGUUGCAGUAUCAACAUGAAAACAUUUCAGAAUAUUCAGUUCAGAAUACUCCAAAAACUUAAAGAUGCACUAUAGGGUCAGGAACACAAACAUGUAUUCCUGACCCUAUAGGGUUAAAACCACCAUCUAGCCCCUCUGGUCCCC